RNAcentral lists this ribosomal RNA (485 nucleotides) under uncultured bacterium. Its description in RNAcentral is "partial 16S ribosomal RNA". It matches the Rfam family "Bacterial small subunit ribosomal RNA", at positions 28 to 523 of the family's 1533-position model. The record is from RNAcentral.
GACGAACGCUGGCGGCGUGCUUAACACAUGCAAGUCGAACGGUGAAAGCGGAGCUUGCUCCGCUGGAUCAGUGGCGAACGGGUGAGUAACACGUGGGCAACCUGCCCCUCACUUCGGGAUAACUCCGGGAAACCGGGGCUAAUACCGGAUAUGACCUCCUUGGGCAUCCUUGGAGGUGGAAAGUUUUUCGGUGAGGGAUGGGCCCGCGGCCUAUCAGCUUGUUGGUGUGGUAGUGGCUCACCAAGGCGACGACGGGUAGCCGGCCUGAGAGGGCGACCGGCCACACUGGGACUGAGACACGGCCCAGACUCCUACGGGAGGCAGCAGUGGGGAAUAUUGCGCAAUGGGCGAAAGCCUGACGCAGCAACGCCGCGUGCGGGAUGACGGCCUUCGGGUUGUAAACCGCUUUCAGCAGGGAAGAAGCCGCAAGGUGACGGUACCUGCAGAAGAAGCACCGGCUAACUACGUGCCAGCAGCCGCCGCCG